RNAcentral lists this non-coding RNA (29 nucleotides) under Homo sapiens (human). Lineage: Eukaryota; Metazoa; Chordata; Mammalia; Primates; Hominidae. The record is from RNAcentral.
GUCACAAACACCUCAGGACUUUACUCAGC